UUUUUUUUCACCAGGUAAUUUUCUUUUUAUUAUCGUAGAUUUCUCUACAGAUAUUUUAUAAUCAGGGCAUGGUAAUCCCCUGUGGAGGUGUAAAUAUGGGCGUAUAUUUAAUAUGUCUAUGCCCACUAGGACUUCACUCCAUGAAAUUCUGAUUCAGUUUGGCCUGCCUUGGGAUCUAUAAAUUCAAAAUGAUCCAAAGGUGAUUCUAAAGCAAGUACUUAAUUAAGCUAUAAUGUGGCUUUCACAGACUUUUUAAAUAUAAGAAUAAGGUUAGCUUUUCCCUAGCAUUGGCAGCCAUAUCCAUAGAGAGAACAUGCUACCAAUUUCCCAGAAAUGUUGUUAUCCGAUCUUAAGUGUGUUUGGAUACAGUGAAAAAUAAGAAUGUGUGAGAGAAAGGCUAGGCCAUCUUGCUUUACGUGGGCCCUAGCGCCAAAUUCACCUGUGUGGAACUAGAGCUUCUUUUGUGUUCUUUUGUCUUACCUUUAUUCCUCAUGAAAUUUGCUGAAAGGCGAUAUCCUUGAAUCACUAGCAUUUAGGAAUCCCUGUUAGAGUUUGACAGCCUUCAGUGGUAGCUCAGUGUGAAGUAGCAAGAGUAUUUUUAUUGUAUGUUGUGUUUUCUUGGACUUUGACAUUUUUCAAUUUUCUUGGUAUACACUACUCUUUAAAAUUAGUUUAACAUCCAAUUCAGAGGGCUGUUGUUGCAGAAAAUGUGGUUAUGAAAGAGCAAAGCUUUUUGUAAUCUGGAAAGUGAUACACAAAAGUUGCAUCUAAUUAAAAAUCACCAUCAUGAAUUUAAUGAUCCAAAGGAUGUGAUCUUUGAAGCACAUUUUACUACGUGUAGUUAUUUAAACCCCACCUUUUGUAAAAUGUUAAGACAGUUUUGUUUUUUUAAACUUACUAAUCUUUUUAUUCACAGAUACCACAUGAAAUUUUGCUUUUGUUUCUGGCAACAAUGAACCGCAUUGAAGAAAAUUAAUUGAACCUUGAAAUUUUCAAAAUGCUUGUAGAGCAAAGAGACCAAGACCUGUAGCUGGCUAAGUAUCCCCUGGAGAGAAGACAGCAUGCUAUCCAGGAUGCUGGAGUUCACAAGAAAGCUCUUCAGCUUGUCACUCUCGGACCGACCAUGACCACCAUCUAGCGCCCCCUCUCCCCUCUCCAGGAAGCAAGAAAGAGUGAAAAAUUGAAUGGCAUGUCCAGGGAUUGGGGAAAAUAUUCGGAAGAACUGGAAAGAGGAGAAAAUAUCAUGUGGUAUCUAUAACAAGAGGCUACACUCCUGCUCCUGAAAGCGUGAUUCAAGAACUAGGUAUGUCCGCAAGUACCAUGAACCAGUUAGAGCCGCCCACCCCGGAGCCAGGAUCGACUUUUAACAACGUACCCUGGAAGACAGGACGCACGUUGAUGUUUGUGAUGAGAUUUUGGGGAGCCUGUUUUUUGCAUUAAAAUCAAUAAAAUAUACGCUCAGAUAGUAUCAAAAUUACUUAGGAAAUUAUUCUUUGAAAUUUGAAUUUCACAUUUUAAACUAUGGGAAAAUGCUAGAAAUCUUACCAAAUAUUAGCAAUGCUUGUUCUGUCUCAAUUUUCUUCUUAAGGCAUGUUUAAGUACCAAGGUAUUUAUGAAGUAUGCAAGCAGUCAAAGAUUCCCAUUAAGUGUUUUAUUUUAAUGCAUUGAAAUGAAAUGAUGGGCUUGUUUUUAAAUUGAAAAUGGUACUCCUUUCCGGUUUUUGUUGUAACUGGAUGCAGCAUUUUUCUUUUACAACAUUAUUUUUUAAAAAUGUGUGAAUAUAAAGCAUUGAGAUUGCUUUAAAAACUCUACUAACAGGCGCCUGGGUGGCUCAGUCGUUAAGCAUCUGUCUGCCUUCUG
Molecule: long non-coding RNA, 1860 nt
Organism: Enhydra lutris kenyoni (northern sea otter)
Lineage: Eukaryota; Metazoa; Chordata; Mammalia; Carnivora; Mustelidae
Exons: 4
Source: RefSeq, a predicted model, not a curated record